AACAAGUUUAGCUUUUCGGGCAUCAAUUUGAGUAAGAAUCCCUCAUCUUAUUCUCUGUUAUGGAAUUGAAGUCUAAUUAACAAUAAUACAGUAUUUUUUGCAAUUUAUAAAAAUAUCUAUAAUUAAUUAUGGGUUACUAAUAGAGAUACAACCGAAAAUUAUUCUCUGUUGAUUUCUGUUGAUUUAUUUUAUUGUUUGAAUGAAUGACAAUAUCUGACUGAUCGAUUUUAUUAUUUUGAAUGCAUGUAUUGCUGCCUUAUAUGACUACUGUAAAAUUAGAAAACCGAGAUGUGAUUAUAUUUCCUGAUGCAUGCUAUGUUUGUUUUAUGUGAUUACAGUUGAAUUGGAAAACUGGAGAUUAAAGGAAAAUAAGAAAUUGUGUGAUGAAGUGAAUGGACGAAACAACAGCCUUACUGGAUAUCUUGGGAGAUGGUGGACAGACUGGGUACAUAGGGAACUCUACUGUGAACGUUACCUCAUACUGGACAGGGUAUCGAGGUUUGGUAAUUUAGCGCUCAUACCGGACAGGGUAUGAGGACGACUCGCUUCAUCCCCAUACCGGAUGGGGUAUUGAGGUUUUGUAAUUUGACGUUCAUACUGUACGGGAUAUGGGGACGGUCCGUUAAUUGAAAAUUUUAAAGGAAAGAGUUCACGCAUUCUGAAGACAUCCUUAUGAACUCUCAUGGAUACCAAUAGACUGAUAAAAGAGAAAUUAUUAUUCCAACUGAUUGCAUAUAAAAUCAUGAUAUGUGUUAUGUUAUUAACUCUACAGGUUAUUUUUGUGAAUCUCGCUACAGUACGCAGACGGUAAACGAUUUUGUUACGAUAAAUGAAUUUGAUUAAUUAAG
This 848-nucleotide long non-coding RNA is filed under the name Carica papaya (papaya). Its description in RNAcentral is "long non-coding RNA (CPAP_LNC005169)". Lineage: Eukaryota; Viridiplantae; Streptophyta; Magnoliopsida; Brassicales; Caricaceae. The record is from RNAcentral.